Molecule: long non-coding RNA, 2270 nt
Organism: Armigeres subalbatus
Lineage: Eukaryota; Metazoa; Arthropoda; Insecta; Diptera; Culicidae
Exons: 5
Source: RefSeq, a predicted model, not a curated record
AGCAUUAUUAAAAAAUCUGGAAUCCCCCACGAAAAUUAAAUAUUCGGAAUCAUCGAUAUGGGAGUUCUUUUGUGCAAACAUUUGAACGGAAGGUUUCCCAAAUUGGGCCAAAUAGGAAGAAGCAAACAUGUCCAGGCCGUCCUGUUCCUGUAUUUAACCGAUGCCCAGCCUUGCGGCACCCAACUGCGGUGCUGCAAAGAUGAGAUGAGGCCGGAUUCCACCCCGUUGCAAUCUGGAGAAAAUGGUUUAUCCUCGGGUGGCUUUGUUCUCGUUCGUCCGGAAAAUUUCAUUCCUUCCGUAAUCCCGUUGUGCAUGCAUUCGUCUUGAAAAUUAGAAAACACCCAGCACGAUUUGUUGGACUCGGGACAGUAUCACAAGGAUGGCACCGGUCGUACGGUUGGUGGCACAAUCUUCACAUCUGCGGGAUGGAUGAAAAUCAGCUGGUGACUAUUUUACCAUUCAUCUAGUCCAGCACUAGGUAAUAUUGUUUUUGAAACUAGUCCGGAAUUUGCGCAAACAACGGCGUCUUUACCGUUCUGAGUAAUACGCACAAUUUUCUCACUUUGAUAAUGAACGAUUUUAAGUGAAGUUUUAAGUUCAAAUGGGUCGCCGUCGUUCUAAGACCGUCAAGAAGGUAAUUUGUGAGAAAUAACACUCGGCGGAAGAGAUCUCCGCAUGAACAUGCCCUACGCCCAUCGUUACCAUUCCUACCAGGCCCCUGCCGGAUUUGAGACACAUCUUGUGAAGCACACCCACCAGUAUCCGGAAGUGUCCGCUCUGGAGCAGGACAUUAUCAAAUUUGAUCCGAGAUCAACUGCCGUGUCCAAUAUCACGGCAGUCAAGGAGCAGUUGGACUUCAACAACAUUGUCGUCCUGGCUUUGACGUCGUCCAAGGACACCGACUUCCGAGCUGCUCGGCUAUGUAGCUUUCCCCAGUGGUAACUCAUCUGAAACCUGCGAGUUUCGAGUGAGAAGCUCCUCACCUCUUGCCGGAUGUUCACGAUGACUCUCUGCCAUAGCUGGCAUUGCCAUGACAUUUAAGAGCUGCGGAUAGACCGAUCAGGUCAGGACAUAGAAUCAAAGUAGAGUCGACGAAUAUUGUCACCGGUGUGUUAUUGGCCAAUGGUCAGUGAACUCAAGCAUUCUAAGAAAAUCUGCUGAAUUGCACUGUGCCGGAUGUAUAAAAAUCCCGAUCUGUAUUAUAUUUAUUAUUCUGGUUUAAUUUCUAUGCAAUAGAUAAAAGAAAUAUGAGAACAAUAACAUUUUAUGGAAAUUCAAUGAAAAUAAAUAAUAAAAACCGAAAAUACCAUGCUAAGAAAAUUAAUUCACCAAAAUAAAUUUAUUCAGCACGACGCAUUACGCACAGUUUUACAUCACAUUUAUUUACAUCGCAUAGAUUACAUCAUAUUAUAUAUUACAUCGUAAGAAAUUACAUCGCUCUUGUUUAUUACACAGCAAGCUCUCAAGUACAUCGUGCAAUGUAAUAUUCAACAAGCGAUGGAUUCAACUGGUUGCAGCGAUUUCGAUGUAAUAUUCAACAACUUUUUUUGCUGUGAUACUUCACGUUCCUGCUACUGUAUUCGCCAGGCUAAUUUAUUUAAGAUCGAAAAUUGACGGAAUCCGGAGAAUGGUUUCCUGGCAUCAUGUUCCUCCAGUUGGCCGUUCAAGCAUGCGCACAUCUAUAGCUGUGAGCACGAAAACACUAAGGCCCUGGAAAGUCAUGAAAAUUUCCCACCCGAAAAACUCCUAGACUGCAGCAGGAUUCGAACCCAAUAAGAUAACACUGAAUCAACAAUUUGAUGUCACAAAAUUCGGCUCGCGGACAUCCCUUUAUCCUCGGUUGCGCGCCACGCUCGCCAAGUUUUUUUGCAUCUUAUACCCACGUAGCUCGCUGCAUCUCCUGUUGUACCACCCGGAUCUGAUGCGAACACCAUCUAUGCAGGAUUGCUGCGUACAUAAUUAUUGCAACGUUUCCUGCGAGCUCGUCGUUUCAUCGGCACACAUCGUUCCCGAAUACUACGCGUGUUUAUCAUUCUCCAAUAUUCUAAAAGAUUCUAUACGUAAAGGACUACAAAGUGUUUUUCUAUAUGGUACAUUUGAUAUGAUUGUGAAUUUUCUUUGCCCAUGGUUGUGAUAAGUUCCGAAGUAAGGAAAGCUUUCUAAGACAAAUAAUAAUGUAACAAAUAUAUCAUUCCUGAAACUGUACCGCCAGCAUUGGCACUGGUACAUCUCUAGCUCUCAUAUUCAUCAUAUUUAAAAAUAAAAGAAAU